RNAcentral lists this long non-coding RNA (1204 nucleotides) under Rhinolophus ferrumequinum (greater horseshoe bat). RNAcentral describes it as "lncRNA (ENSRFEG00010007563.1)". The record is from RNAcentral. Lineage: Eukaryota; Metazoa; Chordata; Mammalia; Chiroptera; Rhinolophidae.
UGUGUAAAACGCUCUCAUGUGUGUGAGCCCAUCUGGGUUUGGGGUUUCGCUGACUUUCCAGCCCACUAUGGGCCUGGCCCCAGGAAAGAUUUGUUGAACGGGAAAUUAAGACGGGAAUUGGUUCGUUUGAGAACCGUUUUCUAGCAGCUGCUGCGUGCUCCACAAGGUGCCGGAACGGGAUCUCCAGAGUGACCUUGUGCCCAAAGCUUGUAGUCAGCGGUGAGAAACGAGAAACGGAUACAAAGUAAUGGGGGAGGUAAAUCAGAGGAACAGGCAUCAGGAACAGAAAUACACAGGAAACGCUGUACAUACGCUGAAGCAGAACUGCAGUUUCCGAAGGCCAGCAUCUGGUCCACAUAGUACUAGAGAAUAUAUUAUUUCCAAAAUCACCUAACUUUUACUCAUGCACUUAUUAUAGUAAGUUGUUUUUGUUCUUUUUUUAAAAAAUAAAUCUCAGCGAUUUGUUCCUGAAAACCUAACUUGUUUAUUGCCUACUCUAAACUAAUUUGGCUUUUGUGUUGCCUGGAAGAGGGAGGAGAAUUUGCAGACUUGUGUUCCGAGGAUCCAGAGAUGCAGAGUAGUGAUGGGAAUAGCAUAUCUCUUACCUAGUGUGUAAUCUUUCUUGGCUUCGGAAGUGUCGUGUUUUUUAGGUGUCAGAUGUUUCAUUAAGUUGAGAACACAUCUGUCAUUAAACAUUAAGAGUAAUCCUUGAGCCGGAAGAACACAAAGCCUGUGUUUUUCAAACUUACUAAGUAGACUUGCUGUGUACAGUAGAGUAUGAUAAGAACAUAUGUGAAAUGUAAGGAUAUGGGAAAGCAUGUUUGUGCAGUUGUCAGGGAACUAAGGAUGGCUUUCAUAGCAUGAUUGAGGGCAAGAAAACAAAUCAUGUAUCUAAACCAAAGAAAUUGGAACAGCGCACCUAAAUUUAAGUUUUUAAUAAAGGAACCAAAAAUAUAAAAUGUGUAUGUUGAACAUACUCAUUUCUGUCUUUGAUUUAAAACCACUCUUGGAGUAUUGGCACCAAACAUCAAUGAUUCAGUUAAAGAAGCAAAGAAAAUAGUAUUCAAAAUGUUUCUUCCAAAGCAUCAAACUGUUACAUAUGAUUUGGAAUUUUGGUUAAGGAAUUCUAUAAUGAAAACAUGCAUGACAAAAAUAUAUUUCAGGAAUAUGUCAGGAAUCUGCACUUAUGUCAAAUGUUUUGAAC